AUACGGAGGGGACUAGCGUUGUUCGGAAUUACUGGGCGUAAAGCGUACGUAGGCGGAUCAGAAAGUAUGGGGUGAAAUCCCAGGGCUCAACCCUGGAACUGCCUCAUAAACUCCUGGUCUUGAGUUCGAGAGGUGAGUGGAAUUCCGAGUGUAGAGGUGAAAUUCGUAGAUAUUCGGAGGAACACCAGUGGCGAAGGCGGCUCACUGGCUCGAUACUGACGCUGAGGUACGAAAGUGUGGGGAGCAAACAGGAUUAGAAACCCUAGUAGUCC
RNAcentral lists this ribosomal RNA (272 nucleotides) under uncultured bacterium. RNAcentral describes it as "partial 16S ribosomal RNA". It matches the Rfam family "Bacterial small subunit ribosomal RNA", at positions 523 to 796 of the family's 1533-position model. The record is from RNAcentral.